This 673-nucleotide unclassified non-coding RNA is filed under the name Hevea brasiliensis (rubber tree). The record is from RNAcentral. Lineage: Eukaryota; Viridiplantae; Streptophyta; Magnoliopsida; Malpighiales; Euphorbiaceae.
AGGAUCCCUUAUUAAAUGUCGAUCUGAACAACUCCUCUGUAUGGAUGGGUAAUUGGUCUCAGCUUUGCCCUACCUGCAAGAUAAUUAGACCCGUUCGCUCCAAGCACUGCCCCUCAUGUAAGCGCUGUGUAGAGCAAUUUGACCAUCACUGCCCUUGGAUAUCUAACUGUGUGGGGAAGAGGAACAAACGGGACUUCUUCAUUUUUUUAUGCCUGGGAACUUUGACGUCAUUCCUUGGUGCUGCUAUUACAGUUCAAAGAAUUUGGACAGCUGUGGAGUCAUUGCAUACAGAAGGAAGAUGGAUUCGUUAUGUGGUUGUUCAACAUCCUGGGGUUGUUACAUUUUUGGUUUUGGACAUGAUUAUUUUCAUUGCUGCCACAACUUUAACCAUAGCACAAGCGUCACAGAUAGCUCGGAAUAUCACCACUAAUGAACUUGCAAAUGCUGCUCGUUAUGGAUAUCUUCGUAGUCCAGAUGGACGGUUUCGGAAUCCAUACAACCAUGGGUGCCGAAAGAAUUUUGCAGAUUUCCUUAUUCAGGGCUAUACAGAUGAUGAUGAAAUUGCUUGGCCACCAUUACAGCAGGCUGCCAGCUAGAACUAAUGCAACGAAAUGCUGCUUUGCUUGGUGGAAUACCCCUUGCAAAUGCCAAGAUCCUUGUACUGUUGUGCAGU